GGACCCGUGUCUGUCGGUAGAUCCCCCGUUUUUGUGCGGCCGACUACCGACGCCGUGUCCAGUCGUUCUUGUGGCUUUGUGUUACCGUUGCCUUUCAAGUGCUUGCGUGCUGGUACCCGAACUAAGGGAAUUGGUGCUACGUACAUGUUGCCUUGCGGUGGACGCCUUCGGGUGUGCUGCUGCGGCCAAAUGGCGCUUGCGGCGUUGCCUCGUUACGCUGCCACGUUUACGUGGUUGUUGUUAUCAAGGCAACCUCGCUCCCGCUGUUGGUCUCGGAUGUUGCCCACGAUGAAGUCUCAUGGCCCUUUUUGGUUGCCUAGACCCGACCCUAAGAAGCUCUCCGAAUUGAGAWCAACCGGAACAGGUGUUGCCUCUACGUAUUCCGCAGUUAGUGGUAUGAUACGCAACAUUUUGCGCCGAUCCUCAAAAAAGUAGGACGAGCUUGGCCCGCUCAAUUGUGACAACCGGCGCGGGGGCUGCUUCUGGCUUGACACGCAAGUGGACGGACGGAUGACUCCCGACGCUGGACGUCAACAAGGA
Molecule: unclassified non-coding RNA, 540 nt
Filed under: Puccinellia borealis
Lineage: Eukaryota; Viridiplantae; Streptophyta; Magnoliopsida; Poales; Poaceae
Description: partial external transcribed spacer
Source: RNAcentral